UUGAACGCUGGCGGCAUGCCUUACACAUGCAAGUCGAACGGCAGCACGGGUGCUUGCACCUGGUGGCGAGUGGCGAACGGGUGAGUAAUACAUCGGAACAUGUCCUGUAGUGGGGGAUAGCCCGGCGAAAGCCGGAUUAAUACCGCAUACGAUCUACGGAUGAAAGCGGGGGACCUUCGGGCCUCGCGCUAUAGGGUUGGCCGAUGGCUGAUUAGCUAGUUGGUGGGGUAAAGGCCUACCAAGGCGACGAUCAGUAGCUGGUCUGAGAGGACGACCAGCCACACUGGGACUGAGACACGGCCCAGACUCCUACGGGAGGCAGCAGUGGGGAAUUUUGGACAAUGGGCGAAAGCCUGAUCCAGCAAUGCCGCGUGUGUGAAGAAGGCCUUCGGGUUGUAAAGCACUUUUGUCCGGAAAGAAAUCCUUGGCUCUAAUACAGUCGGGGGAUGACGGUACCGGAAGAAUAAGCACCGGCUAACUACGUGCCAGCAGCCGCGGUAAUACGUAGGGUGCGAGCGUUAAUCGGAAUUACUGGGCGUAAAGCGUGCGCAGGCGGUUUGCUAAGACCGAUGUGAAAUCCCCGGGCUCAACCUGGGAACUGCAUUGGUGACUGGCAGGCUAGAGUAUGGCAGAGGGGGGUAGAAUUCCACGUGUAGCAGUGAAAUGCGUAGAGAUGUGGAGGAAUACCGAUGGCGAAGGCAGCCCCCUGGGCCAAUACUGACGCUCAUGCACGAAAGCGUGGGGGAGCAAACAGGAUUAGAUACCCUGGUAGUCCACGCCCUAAACGAUGUCAACUAGUUGUUGGGGAUUCAUUUCCUUAGUAACGUAGCUAACGCGUGAAGUUGACCGCCUGGGGAGUACGGUCGCAAGAUUAAAACUCAAAGGAAUUGACGGGGACCCGCACAAGCGGUGGAUGAUGUGGAUUAAUUCGAUGCAACGCGAAAAACCUUACCUACCCUUGACAUGGUCGGAAUCCCGCUGAGAGGUGGGAGUGCUCGAAAGAGAACCGGCGCACAGGUGCUGCAUGGCUGUCGUCAGCUCGUGUCGUGAGAUGUUGGGUUAAGUCCCGCAACGAGCGCAACCCUUGUCCUUAGUUGCUACGCAAGAGCACUCUAAGGAGACUGCCGGUGACAAACCGGAGGAAGGUGGGGAUGACGUCAAGUCCUCAUGGCCCUUAUGGGUAGGGCUUCACACGUCAUACAAUGGUCGGAACAGAGGGUUGCCAACCCGCGAGGGGGAGCUAAUCCCAGAAAACCGAUCGUAGUCCGGAUUGCACUCUGCAACUCGAGUGCAUGAAGCUGGAAUCGCUAGUAAUCGCGGAUCAGCAUGCCGCGGUGAAUACGUUCCCGGGUCUUGUACACACC
This 1364-nucleotide ribosomal RNA is filed under the name uncultured beta proteobacterium. Its description in RNAcentral is "bacterial SSU rRNA". It matches the Rfam family "Bacterial small subunit ribosomal RNA", at positions 29 to 1391 of the family's 1533-position model. The record is from RNAcentral. Lineage: Bacteria; Pseudomonadati; Pseudomonadota; Betaproteobacteria.